UGCCCUAUGGUGGAGGAUAACCCCGGGAAACUGGGGAUAAUACUCCAUAAGUCAGGAGUACUGGAAUGUCUCCUAACUGAAAGUUGCGGCGCCAUAGGAUGAAUCUGCGGCCGAUUAGGUAGUUGUUGGGGUAACGGCCCAACAAGCCUGUAAUCGGUACGGGUUGUGGGAGCAAGAGCCCGGAGAUGGAAUCUGAGACACGAUUCCAGGCCCUACGGGGCGCAGCAGGCGCGAAAACUUUACAAUGCAGGAAACUGUGAUAAGGGAACCCCGAGUGCCCGUAAACGCGGGCUGUCCCGGUGUUUAAAACACAUCGGAAGAAAGGGCCGGGCAAGACCGGUGCCAGCCGCCGCGGUAAUACCGGCGGCUCGAGUGGUGACCACUUUUAUUGGGCUUAAAGCGUUCGUAGCUUGAUUUUUAAGUCUCUUGGGAAAUCUCACGGCUUAACUGUGAGGCGUCUAAGAGAUACUGGGAAUCUAGGGACCGGGAGAGGUAGAGGU
RNAcentral lists this ribosomal RNA (500 nucleotides) under uncultured methanogenic archaeon. RNAcentral's name for it is "bacterial SSU rRNA". It matches the Rfam family "Archaeal small subunit ribosomal RNA", at positions 110 to 615 of the family's 1478-position model. Lineage: Archaea; Methanobacteriati; Methanobacteriota. The record is from RNAcentral.